This is a long non-coding RNA of Pongo pygmaeus (Bornean orangutan), 515 nucleotides long. RefSeq lists it as uncharacterized. Lineage: Eukaryota; Metazoa; Chordata; Mammalia; Primates; Hominidae. The record is from RefSeq and is a predicted model, not a curated record. The transcript is spliced from 5 exons.
CAAACCAGGGACCAUCUGAUACCUGAUGAGACAAAGCUCUCCCGGAGUUUUGUCAUCAGAGACACCUUGGCCCGGACCAGUGCUGACCGCUCCAAGGAAUCCUUUAAUACCGACCGUUCUCGCGGAACCUGGAGGCCCCCUGUUCCUUCCAUGGGAUCCGUCCCAGGCACAAGGACACAAGAGAUGAAUCAGAUCCAGCCUCUGGCCUUGAGAAGCUCCCAGCCUUCUGGGGAGGUGCCCAGGGCCAGCAUGCACAAGGCACUGUGAAGUUAUGCAGGUUGUCACUACACAAGUGCACCCAGCUGAGGAGGCGGUCUCAAAAGAGUAUAAAGAAUCCCAAGGGACAUGUGGGGAAGUGGUCAGAAGACAAGUGGAGGAUCAUUCGUAACACAGCAGCUCUGGGCAGCUCCCCAGGCACCCCGUGUUGGGGAGAGCAGAGAAUGGAUCCUCAGACAGAGCUCAAAUGACAACUCCUCCAGGAAGCCCUCCCCAACACUCAGGCUAAAUAAAUGCUC